Molecule: ribosomal RNA, 446 nt
Filed under: uncultured bacterium
Lineage: Bacteria
Description: partial 16S ribosomal RNA
Rfam family: Bacterial small subunit ribosomal RNA
Source: RNAcentral
CCUACGGGUGACAGCAGUAGGGAAUUUUCGGCAAUGGGGGGAACCCUGACCGAGCAACGCCGCGUGAACGAAGAAGUUAUUCGUAAUGUAAAGUCCUUUUAACAGGGAAGAAAGAGAAAUUUGACGGUACCUGAAGAAUAAGCCCCGGCUAACUACGCGCCAGCAGCCGCGGUAACACGUAGGGUGCGAGCGUUAUCCGGAAUUAUUGGGCGUAAAGGGUGCGUAGAUGGCAUAGUAAGUCUUUUGUAAAAAUGCUGGGCUCAACCCAGUAGGGCAAAGGAUACUGCGAAUCUAGAUGGUGACAGAGGCAAGUGGAACUACAUGUGUAGCGGUAAAAUGCGUAAAUAUAUGUAAGAACACCAGUGGCGAAGGCGGCUUGCUGGGUCGAUACUGACGUUGAGGCACGAAAGCGUGGGGAGCGAACAGGAUUAGAUACCCCAGUAGUC